GUUUUUCUUUUAAAUACGUUAUAUUAAAGAUAUGCCUAAACAUUAAUUACUAACAAAGAAAUAUUGAAAAGAUCUUUACCAAUGACGAUUAUCUAUAUUGUAUCUACAAUAUAAUAUACAUACAUACCUAUAUAUACGUGUGCAUACAUAGAUGUAUAUAUAUGAUUAAUAUACACACACACACACGCUAUACACUAUUAUGUUUUGUAUUUCUCUUCUUGCAUUCAUUCUAAACAUCGAACUUUCUUUUUGGUCAAUUAUAUACACCCGUUCUAUUUUUAAUUAUUUCUUCAUAAUGUUCGUAGAUUCGUUAAUCCAAAAGUGGGAGAAUUAUAUCACUUCAGACAACAUAAGUUGGGGUCGGUCAGUCAGUCAGUCAGUCGGUCAGAAUUCCUCUGGUCCUAGAAAGAAGGGCCACGCUUAUCACCUCUUUAUUUAUGCACGGGGGUGUCUAAGACUUGAGGUCGGGACCCCAGCAGACAUAAUCGAAGGGUCGUUGCUGUAAGAGGAAACACAUGAAGACGUUGAGAUUAGGGGUUUGCUUCAGAUGCUUGCUAUAAAGUGAACCCUACUAAAGGGACCCUAGCAGAUAUAAUCGAAGGGUCGUUGCUGUAAGGGGAAACACAUGAAGACGUUGAGAUUAGGGGUUUGCUUCAGAUGCUUGCUAUAAAGUGAACCCUACUAAAGGGACCCUAGCAGAUAUAAUCGAAGGGUCGUUGCUGUAAGGGGAAACACAUGAAGACGUUGAGAUUAGGGACAUUGAGAUUAGGGGUUUGCUUCAGAUGCUUGCUAUAAAGUGAACCCUACUAAAGGGACGCAGGGGACUUGUUAUGGAUAUGUUAAACUGGGUGGUCAUUUUUAUGUCUUCCAUCCUUGUUCUAGCAUUCUUCCCCAGCUGAGCCAAUUUUUAAACCCCUGAAAUGAAAUAUUUAUUGUAACCCCAAAAAUAAAAUAUCUAUUGUAAUCCCUAAAACAAAAUAUUUAUCAUUAAGGGCACAAGUGCCUCUUGUUGCUGUGUGUGUGUGUAUGGCUGGAGUUGAACCCCUCUUUUAGAGAAGUGCUCAUCUCAUGUAGUCCCUUUAUUAUACCCUCCCUUCCACCACCACAUCCUAAAGUGGACCCUGAUCUAAAGGAAUGACUAAAGCGUGAUUGUUUGGCAAUAAAGGAUAAAAUCCCUAA
Octopus sinensis (East Asian common octopus) is the source of this 1179-nucleotide long non-coding RNA. RefSeq lists it as uncharacterized. The record is from RefSeq and is a predicted model, not a curated record. NCBI's taxonomy places the organism in Eukaryota, Metazoa, Mollusca, Cephalopoda, Octopoda, Octopodidae. The transcript has 2 exons.